RNAcentral lists this transfer RNA (72 nucleotides) under Clostridiales bacterium. Its description in RNAcentral is "tRNA-Gly". It matches the Rfam family "tRNA". From Rfam's summary of the family: Transfer RNA (tRNA) molecules are approximately 80 nucleotides in length. Their secondary structure includes four short double-helical elements and three loops (D, anti-codon, and T loops). The record is from RNAcentral. Lineage: Bacteria; Bacillati; Bacillota; Clostridia; Eubacteriales.
GCGCGAGUGGCUCAGUGGCAGAGCAUCGCCUUGCCAUGGCGAGGAUCGCGGGUUCGAAUCCCGUCUCGCGCU